RNAcentral lists this ribosomal RNA (482 nucleotides) under uncultured bacterium. RNAcentral's name for it is "partial 16S ribosomal RNA". It matches the Rfam family "Bacterial small subunit ribosomal RNA", at positions 28 to 523 of the family's 1533-position model. The record is from RNAcentral.
AGUGAACGUUGGCGGCGUGGAUUAGGCAUGCGAGUCGAGCGAGAACCGUAGCAAUACGGGGACAGCGGCGAAAGGGACAGUAAUAUGUAGGUACCUACCCUCGGGUCCGGGAUAGCUGCGGGAAACUGCAGGUAAUACCGGAUGACAUCUCCGGAUCAAAGGUGUGAUUCCGCCCGGGGAGGGGCCUGCAUCCUAUUAGCUAGUUGGCGGGGUAACGGCCCACCAAGGCGACGAUGGGUAGCGGGUGUGAGGGCACGACCCGCGUCAUUGGGACUGAGACACUGCCCAGACACCUAGGGGUGGCUGCGGACGAGAGUCUUCGGCAAUGGGGGAAACCCUGACCGAGCGACGCCGCGUGCGGGAUGAAGGCCUUCGGGUUGUAAACCGCUGUCGUGGAGGAGGAAAUGCAGUGGGGUUCUCCCCUCUGUUUGACCUAGUCUAGGAGGAAGGACGGGCUAAGUUCGUGCCAGCCGCCGCCGUAA